Molecule: transfer RNA, 72 nt
Filed under: Ovis aries (sheep)
Lineage: Eukaryota; Metazoa; Chordata; Mammalia; Artiodactyla; Bovidae
Rfam family: tRNA
About the family: Transfer RNA (tRNA) molecules are approximately 80 nucleotides in length. Their secondary structure includes four short double-helical elements and three loops (D, anti-codon, and T loops).
Source: Rfam by way of RNAcentral
UCCCUGGUGGUUCAGACGGUAAAGCAUCUGACUACAAUUCAGGAGACCUGGGUUCGAUCCCUGGGUCGGGAA